GUUCCUGUAGUUGAAGCACAACGGUGGGUUUUCAAGUCACCGGUCCUGGUUAGAAUCCAGGCGGGAAUU
This 69-nucleotide transfer RNA is filed under the name Parupeneus cyclostomus (goldsaddle goatfish). RNAcentral describes it as "tRNA-Glu". It matches the Rfam family "tRNA". From Rfam's summary of the family: Transfer RNA (tRNA) molecules are approximately 80 nucleotides in length. Their secondary structure includes four short double-helical elements and three loops (D, anti-codon, and T loops). The record is from RNAcentral. Lineage: Eukaryota; Metazoa; Chordata; Actinopteri; Syngnathiformes; Mullidae.